Triticum aestivum (bread wheat) is the source of this 2009-nucleotide RNA transcript. It is a transcript of the gene named elongation factor 1-alpha-like, with no coding region annotated. The transcript has 8 exons. The record is from RefSeq and is a predicted model, not a curated record. NCBI's taxonomy places the organism in Eukaryota, Viridiplantae, Streptophyta, Magnoliopsida, Poales, Poaceae.
CCCGCCUGCUCUCCUUUAUUUCCGUCCCCUCCCACGAAACCCUAGCCGCCGCGCCCUACAGCCGCUUGACGCCACCGCGCCCUCCUCCUCCUUCCACCUCCUGGCCGGCGCCCAACCACCGCGCCCUCUCACUCCUCCUGCCGCCAACCUCUCCCUAGGCGGCGGCCAGAUCUGCCACGGCCAGGGCCAACCACCGCGCCCUCUCCCUCCUCCUGCUACGGCCUCUCCCUAGGCGACGACCUGUUUUGCCACGACCACGACCACGGCAGGGGCUUCUGGAUCCGCGCCGCCGUCGAGCUGGACGCGACCAUCGACCUCGGACCACACCGCCACAGCCAUGGAUGCACCAUAUCAAGCACUAGGCAUCAGACUUAUGGAGGAGUAGGGUCAACAAAUAAGAGGAGAUGCUAGACCCCUUUGCACUGGUUAAGGAUGAAGUGUCGGAAAUCUCGAACAGACUGCGUUUGACGGUGGUAUCUGAGGUACCUGAAUUGACAUCAGCAGCUGGACACUUCUUCAGAGCUGGAGCUGAAGGGAAAAGAACAUGCCCUACUGUAAGUCCAUACUUCAGGGUGGUACUGAAUAUCCUGUUAUUACAUCAAGGCACGUGUUGCUGUUUGCUUAGACACAUAAGCAUAUACAUGAUGUAUGUACCUGUCCUUAUCGCAUCAGCGUAAGUUAUUGAUAAUCGGCGUGCCAGGUUCUACUACUGAUGGCCUCGGCUAUAAGAACAGACACUCUUGACUUGGUUGUUGUUUCAAGGAGCGAGCUUCAUGCAAGACAGAUGCACAUUGCUCCUGCACUGUCAUUGAUGCUCCUGGACACCGUGAUUUCAUCAAGAACAUGAUCACUGGGACCUCCCGGGCUGAUUUUGCGGUGCUUAUCAUUGAAUCCACCACUGGUGGUUUUGAGGCUGGUAUCUCCAAUGAUGUCCAGACCCGUGAGCAUGCUCUCCUUGCUUUCACUCUUGGCGUCAGGCAGAUGAUCUGCUGCUGCAACAAGAUAGAUGCUACUACCCCAAAGUACUCCAGGGCUCGCUACUUUGAAAUUGUCAAUGAAGUUAGCUACUACUUGAAGAAGGUGGGCUACAAUCCUGCCUGUUCACCAGCUGCCUGUUAAUGGAUGGACCCCCCUGCUUGUUCCAUUCACCAGCUGAAUCCUGCUCCUGCUGCUAGCUCCCAGCCUUAUUCCAUUGGUUGAUUUUAUGUAUGAUAGUGUUGAUAAGACACUAAGUUGUAUGCAGAUCUACAAAAGUAUAUAAUACUUUUGAUUGUGGUGUAGUUUUUUGUUAUUUGAAAGCAACUGACGACUCUAUCAAUCAGUGCACGAAGAAAUCUAUUUCUAAGUAUCCUAAGGUGAUAAGAAUUGUGAUUGACUCAGUAGGAGGAGCAUGAGCAGUGGUGGAAGCAGGACCAUGCGGGCUUGGACCAGGUCGCGGCACCAGAUGUGGAAGAUUAAGGCCUUUGCCAGGAAAUGCAAACUGCGGCAGACGAGCACACUCCUCCAGAGAGACAGGGUAUAUUCUAAAAUUUGUGUAUGGAUUUUGGGUGGUGAUUACUCAAGAAGGAUACCACAUUUAUUUGUUGUCUAAACAAUUUGACAGCGAACACACUAGGAGAGAAUUUGCAUACACUGCACCUAAAGAUUUAUUUGGAAACUGUCAUCAUGCCCAGGCAGAAGAAAGGAUACAUCAGUCGACUAAAUCAUUUUGCAAUAUAUCUAUGUCCCACGUGUAGUAGCCAUCACCAAUUCUAUUUCUGAUCCACAACUUUCAAAUCUAUAGAAGUAGGGGUCUGACUGAGUCAAAGAUAAUGGUACAUCGAGCUGGCUAUCUAAGUUACUAUCUUAUCUAAGAUGUAAUUGAUGCUUUCUUUUGCCCAAUAGUAUGUAUUUCGAUGGAUUAACUUUUGUGUUAGUCAUGUUUCAAUGGAUUAACUAUUUGUGUUUGUCAUGUAAAACUAUGUGUCCUAUGACAUGUGACUUGCUAUGCACCUGUAAUGUCACUGCCA